CGUUUUCGUUUUGGUUUUAGUUUUAUUUCCGCCACCAUUAAUAAUAAGAUAGAGAAUAAAAGUUUAUCGUGGAAAGGUGUUUCGGGUGUGGCUCUCUCUACCUCCCCACUCCCGGGGCAGCGGCCGGGGAAGGGUGGGAUCAGUACCCCAGCUGGCUGGGAGUGUCAAGGUGAGCGUCCAGCGCGGUGCAGGGCUCCUGUCAGGAAGACACAAGGCGGAACUUGUGUCCCAUUCCUGGCCAGGUCCUCAAUCCUUCUCUCAGGAAAUCUUCACGUUUAAUAGCCAACCACUCUUGGAAUAGUGGGGGUGAUUUCGGUGAUGCGAGAGGGGCACGGUCCAAAUCCUGUCUCCUACAGCCAGGCCCAGCCACCAGAACUCAUCCCUCUCCAAGCAGUGACAGAAGGGGCAGGAGGCAAAAGGAUCCCGAUCUGCUGCUAAGGGGCGCAUAGAUCCGGCGCCCUCCUGUCCCCAAGCGCGACCGGCGGGAGGCCAAAUGCAUAGCUCCAGCUCUAGGUCUGAAGGACAAGUUCCUUUCUCCCUGGCGGUGGAAUCUCGCACCACUCUAUCCCAGGUGGCCUGGCCUCGUCUUUCUCCCAGCACCUGCAGCUUCAGGAAGUCUCUGUUAAACCACAGAAUGGUCAUUUCUCCUUCAUUUAAAUGAGGUUUUGCGCAGCCCUGAAUUAUUCACCCCUGAGAUUGAACAUCAACAAUUUCUCUGUUUCUACCCUGCACCAAAGCAGUUCUGAACUCCCCAACCUGUGCAGCUAACUGUGUCCGGGAGCCAUGCGGUGAGGGCCAAGAGGAGGAAACUCGUGGUUUUGAACAUGAACUGAUUUGAGGGGGUCAGGAUCUGAGAGCUCUGAGGUUGAGCCCAGUAAGCACCAAAGGCAUUGGGCUGAAUGUGCUAGACCAGGAAGAGGGCAUAGGGGAGAGAGUAGGAACAGCCGAGGUUUCUGAGACUCCCAGCGCUCCCCUGGAGGAGAGAACCCUCUUCCCCUCCCUCCUGCCCACCCCAAGGGUCUAGCUCUCCUUAGCCACCCAGAGUUGAGUAUGGCGCCAGCGCGGUGACAGUGGCUGAGGAGCACAUGGACCCUAUCAGCCCACCCUGGGGAGCCAUGGCUGCGGAGGCCCCGACCCCUUUGCCUCCGCUGUAGGGCCAGAGAGCAUCCCUGGCUCCUAAUCCACCUGUCUAAAUGUAUCUGUCAGGAGUGACUGGCUCAUAAUUCCUGGACUCUCUAGAGAGAGCACGCGGUGGGGCCACAGACAAGAAUUACUCCUGGAAAAAGAAAAAUCAGGUUUAAAAGAAGUGAACUCUUCCUCUCCGGCGGCAUGAACACAGUACAGUCUCUGGCUCUGGGAGGUCCUGGAGACCUGGAGGAGGUUUGAGGGUCAGUGCACUGGCAGGAGGGUGCGAGAGUGGGAGCAGGGGAAGCUAUGUAGAAGAUUAGGCCUGUCCAUGACAGCGUAGGUUUGGAGUAAGGAACAGGGAAAGGGAAUGGUUUGGAUUAAAGUGGGCACGCCUAAGCCAGGAGUUCCGCGAAGGCAGCGAAGAGAGGACUAAGCACGCACAGUAUGCUCGGGGCUCCGGGGGUGCGGGGAGUGGGGACGCACCCUGCCCAGUGCUCUCCAUUGCGGAAUCUGCUAGCUUCGUCGGGCGCGAGAUACCAAGAAAGGUUGAUUUCCAGACCUUGGAGUCUCUGAGAUAAAGGAACGCCACAUCCCUGCCUCAGUCCAGUGGAUACUCGUGAUCCGGAAAAGCAGCUAAAGCCGCUUCUUCCCCCCAGUAGGUGAGGAGUCAACAGGCACACUCUAAAGACGAGGAAAUAAAGCCGGUCGUGACACCGUGAGAGCUGGUUCGCCCAACUACCCUUUCAGGGGAACGUCCACCCCACCUCUGCUGCCGAGCUUGGAAAAGUGGCAAGGAGUCGCAGUCCAGGACAAAACUCCGCCCCCGUCCCCGUGAAGGCCGCCCGUGGCUGGGGGCUACUGUAGAGGGGGGAAAAUAAAAAAGCAGCUCGGGCUAAAAACGCACUUUAUGCAUCAGGUUAUAGUACCAAGCUCCACACGUACACAUGCCCGUAGUUUUGCAAAAAAGAUCCGCCACAUCAUACUUAAAAAUAAGAAGAAAAUUGACGAAAAGAGAAAUGAGGAGCUGCUAGCUGCAAAGAAACUAUGGGAAGAAGAGCUGAG
This 2190-nucleotide long non-coding RNA is filed under the name Homo sapiens (human). RNAcentral's name for it is "HSALNT0265375". Lineage: Eukaryota; Metazoa; Chordata; Mammalia; Primates; Hominidae. The record is from RNAcentral.